GUGGCGGAGAAGCAGCUGGGCUGAGCUGUUAAAAGCACAGAGACCGGGGCCAGACUCCUCAGCCUGAAAUCCUGCCUCCACCAAGCACUAGCUGGGUAAUUUCAGAGUUUGUCAAUUCAAGCUUUACAUUCCAAGUUCACUACAAGAAAAACGAAUUCACUAAAAGACAAAAACAAGGCAGUUCAGGUUCUCUGCAACUGACCAGGGUAAGCAGGGGUAAGCUCUCAGAAAAACUCCCCAGAUCUUCAAAUACAAUCAGCUCUCCACCAAGAUGUUCUUUGUUUGUGCUGUGGUUUCUCAUCUCCUUGGGGAAACCACAGCACCCCCAUUUGAGGAAUACAGUUGAUCAAGUCGGGAGGCCAACAGCUGUCUUUGAAAGAAUUGUCUAGUGCUCUGCAAAUGUGUGCUGUCUUCUGAGUCUGCUUGUCCGCUCCCUGGAUGUGUCACCUUGGAAGGUUUAUUUAUCUCCUCUGAUCCCAGUCAUUUUCCUGAUUUGAAAAAUACAUCAGUGGACAGGAGAACGUGUGAAGACUGAAUGAACUAAUGCAGUGAAUAAACUUACAGCAACGACUGGCACAAAGACAAGAAUGGAAAUGGCAGCACACGGUAGUCACCUCAGAACCACUUUCAAAAGGAGAGCCCGCACUGUUGUGUCCCCAGGACACCAGGGACUGCAUGGGCACCUUUUCUGUGCUCCCCAUCAUCACCUAGGCAACCCACCUAUCCUUUCUUGGUGAAGAUGAGCCUCUACCUUUUGUGUAUUCUCCCUUUGUGUUUUCAUCUCACAUGCCCUUCCUCGUCUGAAGUCUUGUGUUGAGGACAAAGCAGCCUAAGACGACUGAUGCAGUCUAAUAAACUGCACCAAGACAAGUGCUCGGCAGCAAAUCUAUUUUCCUGACAGUUGUAAGAUGCAAUCUCCUUGUUGUUGGAGGGUGUCAUGCACAGGGCUGGGCUCCUCCAGUCUGCACAUCCUCCAGAGCAUUGCAGUGUGACAGCCUUCAUUAGAAGAGAAACUAACCCCUGGACAAAAUAUUGCCACCCUGGAAAUUCGGCUCUGUGGGGUGCCAUGAAUAUCUUACCUUCUGACAAACAAGUUUCCUCCAGAACUGACAUAUUCUUGGCCAUGUGACAUGAUCUAA
Molecule: long non-coding RNA, 1139 nt
Organism: Chlorocebus sabaeus (green monkey)
Lineage: Eukaryota; Metazoa; Chordata; Mammalia; Primates; Cercopithecidae
Source: RefSeq, a predicted model, not a curated record